Molecule: ribosomal RNA, 244 nt
Filed under: uncultured bacterium
Lineage: Bacteria
Description: partial 16S ribosomal RNA
Rfam family: Bacterial small subunit ribosomal RNA
Source: RNAcentral
CGUGGGUAACCUGCCCAAGAGACUGGGAUAACACCUGGAAACAGAUGCUAAUACCGGAUAACAACACUAGACGCAUGUCUAGAGUUUAAAAGAUGGUUCUGCUAUCACUCUUGGAUGGACCUGCGGUGCACUAGCUAGUUGGUAAGGUAACGGCUUACCAAGGCAAUGAUGCAUAGCCGAGUUGAGAGACUGAUCGGCCACAUUGGGACUGAGACACGGCCCAAACUCCUACGGGAGGCAGCAG